RNAcentral lists this ribosomal RNA (465 nucleotides) under Vreelandella stevensii. RNAcentral's name for it is "partial 16S ribosomal RNA". It matches the Rfam family "Bacterial small subunit ribosomal RNA", at positions 338 to 795 of the family's 1533-position model. The record is from RNAcentral. Lineage: Bacteria; Pseudomonadati; Pseudomonadota; Gammaproteobacteria; Oceanospirillales; Halomonadaceae.
CCUACAGGGGGCUGCAGUGGGGAAUAUUGGACAAUGGGGGGAACCCUGAUCCAGCCAUGCCGCGUGUGUGAAGAAGGCCCUCGGGUUGUAAAGCACUUUCAGUGAGGAAGAACGCCUGGUGGUUAAUACCCAUCAGGAAAGACAUCACUCACAGAAGAAGCACCGGCUAACUCCGUGCCAGCAGCCGCGGUAAUACGGAGGGUGCGAGCGUUAAUCGGAAUUACUGGGCGUAAAGCGCGCGUAGGUGGCUUGAUAAGCCGGUUGUGAAAGCCCCGGGCUCAACCUGGGAACGGCAUCCGGAACUGUCAAGCUAGAGUGCAGGAGAGGAAGGUAGAAUUCCCGGUGGAGAGGUGAAAUGCGUAGCGAUCGGGAGGAAUACCAGUGGCGAAGGCGGCCUUCUGGACUGACACUGACACUGAGGUGCGAAAGCGUGGGUAGCAAACAGGAUUAGAUACCCCUGUAGUC